This is a long non-coding RNA of Leucoraja erinaceus (little skate), 1085 nucleotides long. RefSeq lists it as uncharacterized. The transcript has 8 exons. The record is from RefSeq and is a predicted model, not a curated record. Lineage: Eukaryota; Metazoa; Chordata; Chondrichthyes; Rajiformes; Rajidae.
UGUGGACCCGACCCGGGCUCCUGUACUGUACCGCACCGACCGGCCUGUAGUGUACUGUACCGCCCCGUGGACCCGCGCUCCGCGACCGGCCUGUACUGUACUGCCCGGCCGCCUCGUGGAACCCAUCCCCCGCCCCCCAACCAGCCACUAAUCCCGCUGCCCGGCCUCCAACACUCCCGGGUAAUGGGGGACGGGACCGGACCCGAUCCAUGCGGCCCCGGGUGCUCCGGGCCGAUCCCCGCCGCCAGACUCUCGGGUGGUCGGGGCCGAGCUCCAAGCCCGAUUGUCCGCCAUCGCUGCAGUGGCCCAUGGAGCGAGUGCCGGGCCCGAGAGGCAGCAGCAGCCGCGGGGUGGCCCGGCUCCAGACCCUAUCUCCGGCUCCAGGCCACGGCUUGGCCCCGGGGAAGCUCAGCAGAUCUGUCUCGGCAGCGUGAGUGACCAAGUUGAUAACCAGCUGGCUGUCUCAUGGAAUUUGAACUGAUUCAAUUCACUUUGUCCUUUGACAAAAAGAGUCCACUGCAAUAAUGGAAGAUCUACUGUGAAACCAUCCUUGAAUCAUUUCUCUGAGGUUCUGAUGGUGAUUGUCCCGAACGCUUAUGUACUGGCAUGGUACUUGACACAUGUGCUUCACAAUUGAUAACCAGCUGGCUGUCUGAUGGAAUUUGAACUGAUUCAAUUCACUUUGUCCUUUGACAAAAAGAGUCCACUGCAAUAAUGGAAGAUCUACUGUGAAACCAUCCUUGAAUCAUUUCUCUGAGGUUCUGAUGGUGAUUGUCCCGAACGCUUAUGUACUGGCAUGGUACUUGACACAUGUGCUUCACAAUGCAAAAGUUAUUGAAAACAUCUGCAGUACGUGCUAUUUGUUGUGUAAACACACAUGAUUUGGGGAGGAUAAUAUUACACACAAACUGAUUUUUUGCAGCAAUGCCUAGUAGUAAGCAAUUGAAGAUUGUGAUUACCUGCCAACGGUACAAGUGAAGACUGUAACUUUUUUUAUAUCUGCCUGUAACAAUUGUCUUGUAUAUGUGAAUUUGAUUGUGGGAUAUAAUUGCAUUAACCUUAUUAAACUAUUGUGUUAUCCAUAA